RNA transcript from Wasmannia auropunctata (little fire ant), 1199 nucleotides. RefSeq lists it as uncharacterized. Lineage: Eukaryota; Metazoa; Arthropoda; Insecta; Hymenoptera; Formicidae. The transcript has 2 exons. The record is from RefSeq and is a predicted model, not a curated record.
UGACAUCACAGAAAAAAAUUUAAGUUAAAUUGAAUACAUUUCAUAUGAUUCAAAAGGUCCGAAACUUUUGUGUCGAUUUAACACGAGAUAAAUAUGUAAAAAGUAACGUAAAUAUUACGUAAAAAAAUUAACAUAAAAAUGUAACACUUGUGACACAAUGAUGGAAGCAUGAUUCUUCAGUAAAAUUAAGCUUUAACAAGGAAAACACCGGUUUAACGUAGAUACGAAAUAUUUAUUACUAUGUACAUACUGCAAAAUCAAUAUCUGUAGUAUUCUGAAUAUCUUUAAUUCUUUAUUUUAAACAUAUUUCCUGAUUCUUUUCGUAGGCCGUUUAUAUCAGCACGACUAUUAUAUCGAUGCGAUAUCGAUUGCGAGGACGCGUAAAAAAUGAGCAGAGCAGAUCGUGACAAAAUAUACAAUCUCGACUGUAAAAAAAAAUGAAAAUAAGCAGCUAUAGUGAUCAUGUGUUGUUAUCUUCCAUGGCAACCAUUCUGUGUUACCUGCUCUGUUAUCAGAGAUCAAGAAGUGACAAUUUGAAGUCCGGAAGACUCUUAGAACAUAUAUUAUUGGAAGGAGAAUUGAGUGCUGAACGUGAAGCCACAUCUGUGAGAGAGAGAAAGGUAUAGGCAAUUGUCCUUCCAGGAAUAUAUGUCCCAAGGGAAAACUACACUUUUUAGUCGCAAAGUUACCUAGUCACUUAAGCCUAUACCUAAAAAAGACCAUCGUGUUCGACGCAGCUUUCACGCUUUCUCCGAGUUAACACGAAUUCUUCAACCUCAGUGUCGGUUCGCGAAAAGUGCUCGUGGAUCUGUGACGCCCAGGCAGAUUCUGAUUAUUAUCGAUAAAAGCCUGUUCGUCGAUACGCGACCGUGUUGCCUGCUUUUCAAACUUAUCGGACGAAUGCAAGAAUGGCUCGCCACGACAAUUGUCUACCUUAAUAAACGUAUCGCGCGUCCGUUUCGCAUAAUACAAUUCGCGCGAAGCUGCAUCGAUCGGCACUCUCAAGUUACCUUGAAUGGAUAUUUUUCCAUUUAUUUUCAUUAACUUAUAGAAUUACUAGCAAACUUGCGAGAAAAUAUUCGCCCACCUUUCUUUCAUAUCUCCCAUGUCAAAUGCCUGUAGAAUUUGUAAUAGCCUUUAUAAAGAAUUUGAUAAAAUUACGCUAUAAAGUUCCAAUUAAAUUUUCCUUUUGUCGCAAA